Molecule: ribosomal RNA, 497 nt
Filed under: uncultured bacterium
Lineage: Bacteria
Description: partial 16S ribosomal RNA
Rfam family: Bacterial small subunit ribosomal RNA
Source: RNAcentral
GAUGAACGCUGGCGGCGUGCCUAAUACAUGCAAGUCGAGCGAACAGACGAGGAGCUUUGUCCCCUGACUGAAGCGGCGGAGGGGGGAGUAACAUGUGUAUAAACUAACUAUAAGACUGGGAUAACUUCGGGAAACCGGAGCUAAGACCGGAAAAUAUAUUGAACCUCAUGGUUCAAGAGUUAAAGACGGUUUUUCUGUGGCUGAUAGAUGGAUCCGUAACGCAUUAGCUAGUAGGUAGGGUAACGGCUUAGCAAGGCGACGAUGCGUAGCCGCCCCGGACGGGAGACCGGCCACACUGGAACUGAGACACGGUCCAGACUCCUACGGGAGGCAGCAGUAGGGAAUCUUCCGCGAUGGGCGAAAGCCUGACGGAGCAACGCCGCGUGAAUGAUGAAGGUCUUCGGAUCGUAAAGCUCUGUUAGCAGGGAGGAAGAAAUGUGUAAGUACCUAUGAACGUAUUGACGGUACCUGAACAGAAAGCCACGGCUAACUCCGUG